This 254-nucleotide ribosomal RNA is filed under the name uncultured bacterium. Its description in RNAcentral is "partial 16S ribosomal RNA". It matches the Rfam family "Bacterial small subunit ribosomal RNA", at positions 524 to 776 of the family's 1533-position model. The record is from RNAcentral.
UACGGAGGGGGCUAGCGUUGUUCGGAAUUACUGGGCGUAAAGCGCACGUAGGCGGCUUUUGUAAGUUAGAGGUGAAAGCCCGGGGCUCAACUCCGGAAUUGCCUUUAAGACUGCAUCGCUAGAAUUGUGGAGAGGUAAGUGGAAUUCCGAGUGUAGAGGUGAAAUUCGUAGAUAUUCGGAAGAACACCAGUGGCGAAGGCGACUUACUGGACACAUAUUGACGCUGAGGUGCGAAAGCGUGGGGAGCAAACAGG